UUCUUCACCAUUGGUGUUCUCUAGUCCCCAUUUUAGAGAGAGAGAGAGAGAGAGAGAGAGAGAGAGAGAGAGAGAGAGCCAUUUGUGUUCUCAAGUUCCUAUUUGUGGGAGAGAGAGAGAGAGAGAGAGAGGAGGUGAAGGGACUCUUUUUGUUGUAUACUCAUUGGGAACGAGGUGAGAGAAGCAUCGAUUUAAAUCGAAUCGGAGAGGGUGAAAAGUAGUAAACCCACAAAUGCGAAAGUUACCCAUGUGCUGUUUCCCUGAGAUUUACCCAAAAUCGAAGGAGAAAUCGACAAAGAUCCAGAGCAGCUGAUCGCCCCCACAUACAAAAAGAAGAAGAGGAGUAAACUCACAAAUGCGAAGUUGAGACUCGCCCAAAAUCGAAGAAGAAGUGGAGUAAAUUCAUGGUGUCUGAUCUUAAGAAGCCACAUUCCCUUUCUAAGUAGCUCCAAAACGAGAUCUUUAGCAAAGGAGGAGAAGAAGAAGAAGAAGAAGAAGAAGAAGAGGAGGAGGAGGAGAGGAAAAAGGCACCUUUCAUACAAUACGAGGUCCUGAAGCAAAAAAAAAAAAAAGAAAAAGAAAAAGAAGGGAAAAAACGAGAACUUUACGAGGAAGAAGAAGGAGAAAGAGGAGGAGGAGGAGGAAUGGGGUGUUGCCAGUCUCGGUUGGAGAGGAAGGAGGCGGUGUCGCGGUGCAAGGCGCGGCGCCGCUACAUGAAGCAGCUGGUCGAAGCGCGGCGCGGCGCGGCAGCCGCGCACGCGCUCUACCUCCGCGCCCUCCGCUCCACGGGCUCCGCUCUCCUCCAAUUCGCCCUCGCCGAGUCCCCCCAAUCCCCCUCCUCUCCCACCCCUCCUCCUCCUCCUCCUCCUCCUCCUCCUCCNUUGCAGUGGGCGAUGGCGCUCUGGAUCCCGUCCUCCUGCUGGAGCAGCGAGUCGUCCCUCCGCCGCGACGAUGGCACCGCGGCCACCGCGGCCGACGCCGACCGGCUCUUCCCGAGCCUUCUCCGCACCACCUUCAACCCCGGAAUGCUCGCCCUCGGCGCCCUCACCCCGCACGACGCCACCGCCGCCGCCGCCGCCGUAGGUGGCGGCGGAGACACCUCCUCCGCCGCCUCGGCCGCCGCGGCGGUGGCGGCGCCGCCCUCGUCGGUGAGCUGCUACGCCAAGGGCCGCGACGCCGCGAGCGAGCUCGCCAUGGUCGUCGUCCCCAAGAGCGGCGGCACCACCGGUAAAAACCUCGCCGAGAUCGUCAAGGAGCUCGACGAGUACUUCCUCAAAGCCGCCGACGCGGGCGCCCAUGUCUCCUUCCUCUUAGAAGCCCCUAAUUGCGACUUCCCUUCCACCCAAGGCCUAUCCGGUGAAAAAAAAAAAAGAAAAAAAGAGAAACUUUUGCAUUUCUUUUUUCCCCAAUCAUUUUGUUCAAUUUGGUGAUCUUCUCUUUUAAUCCAAAUUAACUGCGCAGGAAAAGUGUUUAGUUAUGGGAAGAGCCUGAACCCAUUGGUUUGGUCCAAAAGCUCCAACUCCAUGUGUGGUGGGUUCACAAGAAUCAGCAAUGGUGGUGGUUUUGGAGUCGCCUCUGCAACCCACUCCUCCACAGUAGAGAAGCUCUACGCCUGGGAGAGGAAGCUGUACCAGGAAGUGAAGGUACACUUAAUUUCUGAGCCCCCUUUUUUUACUCCUCUCUUUAUUGUGUUGCUUUUAGCUUUGCUUUAACCAAUGCUUUUGCCCACCCCCACAUUUCACUUUCUCUUUGUUGUCAUUUUUUUGUUCUUAUUAUGGUGCCAACUAUGAUUCCCCGAGGACACCAUGUUCUCUUUUGUUUUGUUUCUCUUAUUAUUCUAUUAUGCAGUGGGUGGUCCAACAGUAACAAAGAUGAACAGAGAAUUAGCAUUUUCUCCUUGUUUUUCAUUUACUUAGUUAUUGUGUGAGUUAAAUUGUAAAUUUUUUUUGUUACUGAUCAGAAUUACGAGCGCAACAAGGAGGAGCAUGAGAAGAGGGUGGACCUAUUGAGGAAGCAGGAGAUUAAGGGAGUGGACUAUGUUAAGGUUGCUACAUUUUACUCUUUAUAUAUAUAUAUAUAUGCGAUUUCGAGUUUUAUCAGUAUAGGUAACAAGUUUAAACUGUUUCGGUGAUUGAAGGUUGAGAAGAAUAGGAUGGAGAUUGAGAGGUUGGAGUCGAAGAUGUUGGUGGCUACUCAGGCUAUAGAAACUACCACUGCUGAGAUUAUUAGGCUGAGGGAGUCUGAGCUCUUUCCUCAGCUCCUUGACCUGGUUACUGGGUUAGUCUCUCUUCCACUCUCUUUUCGCAUGUUUUCCAUUGCUAUGCGCUUUGCAGAAUUAGAGCGAGCAAUGGUUGUGUGUUAGAACCUCGGAAUAGUUCACAGUUUAAAGAUCUUAAUUUUUAGAAACCUGUUACCCAGCAAUCAACUAAUCCCAAAGAUCAACAUGGGAAAAGGGCCACUGUAGAUCAUAUUUAACUGCGUUCAGGAGAGCGCCGGCCCGGGUUUAUAAUCCGCAGUCCGUGAGAUAAUUACUUCGCAUAAUUAGGGAAGUUACAGAAGCUGGUUGGUCAUGUGGACCUGGUAGUGUGGAUUCUUAGUUGAUUAUAGAAUUGACUGUCAGGGUACUACUGGGCCUCAAAAGAAGGGGAGAGAGUGAAAGGGUGUUGAUUCUUGUUACCUUUGCUCUCUGCAAACCCACAUUGCGACAGUGUGGACUGUUAGUUUUUCGUAAAGCCACCUUGAAUUUGGACUAUCCAUCAUAUACUCAUGACUCUAGCUAAGGGAUUGUUGAGCAAAUGGAGAAGAUUUGGAGUUACGCUGCUUUUUAUUGUAUUAGACUAAUAGAGCAGGAUUUUCUGAAGCUAAUUAGGAAUAUUUGUUUGACAUGUUGCAGAUAGUAUUACUGCUAAACCAGCUUGUCAUGCUGUCUAGAUCCUUAUUCGUGUCUUCAUUGUCAGAAUAAUAAACGAAACUGCGAUUUACAUCGUUACAGCAUUUUCUGCCAGUUUUUGGAAACGUGGUACGAAAAGUAUUUGACAACACUCUUGCUUUUUUCCCCUCUUCUUCUGUUUGGACUGGUAGUUCAUCCUCUUUAUGAUUUAAUGCUUUCGAACUCCUCGUUGUCGAGUAAACUCGGAUGAUUGUGUUGAUAAUUUAUUUGAUCUGGACGAGGAAAACUACUGAGAGCUACUUAAGAUACUUUUUUAGGUAUUUGGAUGGUAAGGGUACGGUAAGCGAAGAGGCCUCAACUAGGUGGCCCCUUUGAUUGUUUUGGACUACGCAGUGUUUGAACAUCAGAGAGAGAUUAUGGGUUGUGAAUAUAAGCAGUUAAUAUGAUUGGUAUGUAUAUGUCCUGUGCAAAUCAACACUUAGACAUGCUUUUAUAUGCAUGAAUAAGUAGUUCCUUCAGAUCUGCAGUAUUUAUACGACCAUAGUCACAAAUCAAAUACAAAUCAUGACCGGUAUGUACGUAUGCUAGUUUUUUAUCAAUUGAAUCAUCUAAUAUUUGUUCCCUUUUUUGCUCUCUCCCCCUUUCUUGUCUAAUGUUUUCCUGUACGAAAAAUCUCAGCAUGAUGGGCAUGUGGCGGAGCAUGUACCAGUGCCACCAAGUCCAAACUCACAUCGUCCAGCAGCUGCAGUACCUCAACAAUGCAUCAAACCCGAAUCCCACUUCCGACUUACACCGCCAGGCUACUAUCCAACUCGAGAUCGAGGUUGAGCGCUGGUACUCGGGCUUCUGCACUCUCAUCAACUCCCAAAGAGACUACAUAAACUCCCUCACAGGUUGGCUCCGCCUCUCCCUCUUCCAGUUCCACCACGACCCGCUUACGGGUACUCACCAAAACUCCGACAUCUACUCUCUAUGCGAGGAGUGGCAACUCGCCGUCGAUCGAAUCCCCGACAAAGUGGCUUCUGAAGGGCUUAAGAGCUUCUUGAUCGUGAUCCGUUCGAUCGUAGCUCAACAGUCGGAAGAGCAGAAGGAGAAGAAGAGAUCGGAGGCGGCUUUUAAAGACCUCGAGAAGAGAGCAGACGAAUUAAGAUCUCUCGAGUCUAAGCACGGUCCUUACGUAGCAAAUGAGAAGCGGGCGAAGGUGGAGGCUUUGAAGGCUAAGGCGGAGGAGGAGAAGAGCAAAUAUGAGAAGAGCGUGGGGGUGACGAGGGCGAUGACUUUAAACAAUUUGCAGACCGGCUUUCCGAAUGUCUUUCAAACCAUGACCGGAUUCGCGAGCAUUUGCAUGCAGGCGUUCGAGUCGGUUUACAAUCACAGAAGGGUUUCAGAAAAAAUCCUCGACUCAAAGAGGCUGCUGACCUGAGAGUUCCAUGAGAGAAAAGAAGAUAAAAUCAGUGUGUAAAUUGUAUACAGUUAAGAGCAUAGUAGGGUGAGGUGUUCUACAAGCUUUUUUGAGGUUUGUUUUCCUUCUGUAGGUAUUAGUUGCUGGAGAAAUGUGUGUAGAUUAUCAUAGUAGUGGGUCUCUCAUCCUAUUUAGAUUUGUAAUCAAGUUCGAGGCUGCUUUAUAUUAAUUACAUUCUGAGUACUAGGUAUUGAAUCAGAUGGUGGAUUCAAUGCAAUUUUGGUUUGGGAUUGAUCACUGAUGCCGCAUUAUUUUGCAGUACAAUAAGGCCUUCUGCAUCAUUGAAAAGAAAUUUCAUCAGACAAUUUUUCUUUUUUAGACACACCUUUUUUUUACUGUGGAUAUAAUUUUGCCCAAAUCUUGAAGUAGUACAAAGUGACAUACAACGGUAGGAAAAGAUUAGUCUAACAAUCUUUUUUUUUCAAGAUGUUGAAGUAGUACAAUGUUACAGACUGGACUAAUACUUUGAUCACAGGAAAAGAGAGCAAGAUCUACACAACUAAGCAAGAUAAACUAAUGCAAUCCAGUUUACCUAGCACAAUUUUGAAUUCUGAAUCAAUUAAAGAAAUCCAUAUUAACAGAACACUUAAACUAUCUUUAAAGCAGUAUGAAGAAAUCUCCAGGUCAAAAACAUAUGCUGAUGUAUGUUCAAAUUAUUUUGCAAGAUGCAUCUCCUCUCCUAUAAUUUGUCACCCAAACCCAAAGUCUGGUUUGCUCCUGUGAGAGUUCUAUGAAGUUCUCCACUGCAGUUCGAUUUGAAUCUGGCCAUUUUUCGAGUCGAUGAGGUGAUAUUUUUCAUUGAUUCUUUUGUUGUUCACAACAUCUGCAAGGCUUAUAUCAACAUAGCCCAAUGUUUCCUGUUGAAGAGAAAAUGAAAAAGGUAACACAAGAAAACUCGUCAAAAGGUAAAAAGUCUUUAAAACAUCAAACAGAAUAAUAAAUACGCUGCAAAAAAUAAAAAAGACAGUAUACGCAAAGAGAAGGAUAGUUUACUGUACUGGUUCCAGCUAACAAGUUUCAGUCACAACGCAAUCAUGGCUUACUGCUAGCAAUAAAAAUAUCGAAAGAAACUACGAGUAGAAAAAUUUUAACGCCAUUUGUACUUCCAAUUUCCCAUUUAGUGGAAUUUACCCAGAUCAGAUUUUAAACACUAAAACAAACAACGAACUUUCAAUAAGAGACUCAAAAGCCUAGACCCUAUAUAAACACCUAACGAAGGACCUGCAGCAUUUUAUCCUGACAUUGCCUAUAAUUACCCUCCAAUCAGUUGUAACUUAUUGCGCCACCAACUUUAUUCUCUAUUAUCGAUUGGAAUACAAAAAUACUUAAACACAGUUCUCUAGCUGUGUAAACUUUCAGAAAAAGAAGGGAUUAUUUCACAUAUAACAAAGCUGCAGUUUCCUGCGUUCAACUUUUUACGAGAACCUACUCACCUUUAAUUUCCUCAAUUUGACGUUAUGUCCAUGUUUUGACUCCAGAUAUUAGGGAGAGUGUUGCAUACAAAAUAUAAAAAUAUUGUUCUCUAGCAGCUUGAGCUUUUAGGGGAAAAAAAGUUGUUUCACACUCUCUAGUGAUAAAAUUAAGAGUUAGGUGCAUGAAAACAAAUCGUACUUAUUCAACAACUGCGAUUAUGGAGGAUAACUAAGAUCAUUGUUUACAUAGCAACUCAAAAACUCUGUGAGGUGCAGAAAACCAGAUACACUACAAGGUAAAGUCGCAUAUAUUACAUUAUGGGCGCGUUUGGUUCAAGUUACAUAAUAUUACAGAGUAUUUCGAUAUAUCCAGGUAUCUUGGAUUUCUAAAAGAGAUUACUACUUAUACUGCAUUAGCGUGUUUGGUUUAAUACAGUAAUAUACUGCUGGAUUGCAAUGGUUAUAGCAUUAAUAUGUUUGGUUCUGUCUAUAAAAUUCAGUAAUGUCGACAAUAAAAUAUAGUGUAUUCCAAAAUUGCCCUUAACCAUAUUUUGUAAACUUUUCUUUUACUGUUUACAAAUAAUAUUUUUUUUACUAAAUUUUAGUUUUGAUAAUUCAAAAUUUUAAAUUAAAAUUUUUAAAAUGAAGUAUUGGAAGGGUUUCGGUAGUUGGAGCNAAAAAUUAAAAUCUAAAUUUAAAAUUCAGAAAUCAAAAUUUUAAAUUUGAAGUUUAAAAAUUUAAAAUUUAAAAUUUUAAAAUUUAAAUUUAAAUUAAAUUUAAAAGUUGACAAUUCAAAAUUUUAAAUUAAAAUUUUUAAAAUGAAGUAUUGAAAGUGUUUCGGGAGUUAGAGGGGUAAAAUUAUCAUUUUACAUAGUAUGUAGUAUUACCGGUUUUCAUUAAUGCAAGAUACACGACCCCCCUCUCGUUAAUAUUUUCGAUGUAAUCCUGCUCAAUUUGUAAUGCUACAUUAACGACUAGAUUACAUAGCGGAUUAACCAAACACAGUUAUCCUGGUAGGAUUGCCUGUAAUCCUGUCAGGAUAACUCGAACCAAGCGCACCCUAUGAUCAAUCUGAAAAUAUUAUUUAAAGAAAAGCAGAAUAUGAAGAUUGAAUACCUUGGAGUGUAAAAUUCCCUUGUUCGGUGGCCUACUAAGUACCUCUACAUGGAUUUUGUCGUUAAUCGGUGGUUCUUCACAUACAAACUGGAACUCCUCCUCCCAACGGGGAUCUCUAUUUUUUUUAAUGUGCUGCAUCCAGGAAAAAGGUAUUCCAUCAUCAGAUGAAAUUACAUGCCUAAAUUAAAACUUGAGAUCUAGUAACUGAUAAUGCAUAAUACCCCGGUUUUCUUAUCCUCCCCUCUAAAAAUGACUCGCACGUAGGGGUUGGUGUGAUGCUUUCCUUCGAGAUCUUGAGCUUCAUGAAUGAUAACAACAAGCAAACCACCGCCUGAAGGAGUAUCAUCCGGAGCCUUCUCUACUACACUUGAAUCUUCACUAACAUCUUUAGGCAUCUCUUCUUCCUUAAAAGGCUUAUAUGUUACAUCAAGCACAAUUUGUCCACGUAACUUCUCAUUCUGAGCAUCAUUUGGAUCCAUAUUUUUAAGCAAGUCGAGGGUCAACGUCUUUGUCUCAUCAGGGGGCAAGUCUUUCAACCGAAUUGCAUUCAUGCCCAUUUUGUCAUGUUUCCCAACCUAAAAAAUUAAAGAACAGCUCAAAUAAGUAAAUAGAUACUAGUUAUGAUAACUUUGAGCAGAAAAGUUUGGGCAAAAUAUAUGGAUAGUCCACUUCACUAUCCCCAAUGCUGCAACUUGGUCCCUAAACUUAAACACUUAAAAAAAAAUGAACUAAAAAAAAAAAAUUCGGACAUCAAUUGUCUUUUGCUGUAAAUUAAAUUUUCUUGAACACCUAAAUUAAAACAAGAUUCAGGUUAAGGAAAUAAAUGGUUAUUUCACAAAAGGAAGUAUCAGCUAACAAUACAUACGUGCGCGCGUGCACACACACACACACACACACACACACACACACACAUAUAUAUAUAUAUAUUAGCUUCUUUUGACAGCUGGGGAUGGGAUUGCAACAUGCAAGAGAGUUCAAUGAUUAUAGUGUUUAAGUGAAAGGAUUAGGUACCACAUCACAAUAUCAUGAUAGUAAAGAACUAGCCGAACAUUCUAUCCAGAAAAAAUCACAAGGUGAAUUGGUGGAGAAAAAAGGCAUGCCUGUUCCCAGUCAAAGACACUGAACUCCAAAGUUUGAGUUUCGGGAUCUUUAACAACAAAUUUGAAUUCCUCAUUCCAUUCGGGGUUGAGAUUACUGUGCUUCACUGUUGUUUUCUUCGACGGAAGCCUAUCUUCCGACAGCUUAAGUUUCACGUAGGGAUCUGAUUUACCCAACAAAUCUUUCUUUCGCAGUUUAAGUGCCCUCACAACCUUCACAUGUAGAAUUCCGACUGGCUUCUUUGAUGCUCUGCAAAGUAGGAGAAAUAAUGUUUGCUCAUUCCAUGGUAAUACGUAGUGUUUCUUAAGAAUUGCAAAUGAUUUAAGAUAAUUUACUUUGAAGGAUCCAUUAUGGGAACUUCGAGUGUCCUAGGCCAUAGAUACAUACUAGCGACCUGCUUCUUAAUGGUCUCCUGCAGAUGGAUCAGAAAGAAAGUGCAAAGUAUCAGAGGGUCAGUCUGGUAAAAAUAUAUGCAAAUAAUUCUUUCUAUGAUUAAUAAAGAAUCAAAGGCAAAAUUAAACAACAGGAGGUAGUGGACAGGAAAAAGUUUACUUGAACGUGCAUAAUCCCAUAUAGUGAAAAUAAAAUUUGUUUGGUUUCAGAGUAAUUUGAUGCACCGGAUGUGGACAUUAAUAUCUCAAAUCGGUUUCAUGAACAACCACGAAAAGGACAAAUGGAGAACUAUAGAGAUAGGAACAGGAAACUAACCUGUACAUAUCGAUAAAGACCAGGAAUAGCCAUAAGAUCUGCACCCAGAAGUUUUAGUCCGAAAUCAACGUGUGGCUGCAGGAGAAAGGCAUAGUUAAUGCAAAGCAAUAGAAACUCGUAAUCAACGGAAAUUAUACGAUAUUCAAGCUUUCCUCUCACUUACCUUCUCCAUAAGCGACACAUAAAUCUUCGCAAAGCAAGGAAAAUUAGGGACCAAUGGUUUCAAAGUAAUACGCGGUUUAGCAAAAAUUUGCAAAUCCACCACCUGAAAAGUAUCAAACUGCAUAAGUAUUUUGCCUCCAGAAUAUUAACUUCUAACUACCAAGGAUUCUAGUCCUUCCACAAAAAAAGGGUCGAAAGAAUAUAGUGACACAGUAAAAUUAUUUUUUCUCAUAAAUAAACAUAUCUCAAUAACCUGAGCAGUUGCUUUCAAUCCAUAUGCCUUGACAACAACAGUGACAUUAGGGUUUCCGGCCCAUUUAAGUGAAGGUUCCAUAAUCAACUCCUGCUCCUCCGUAACAUAGACUUUCAUUCCUAAAAAAGAAAAAGAACCCAUUAAUAGAAUGUACAUAUUGCAGCACAGCUAUAAGCAGGAUUCUCAUUAAAGAAAAAGAAAGCAACAUAUUUGCUUCUUCUUCUUCUUUUUUCCAGUAAAUGCUGCAUCAUUCUUGGAUGGUGGAAAACAUGGUCAGCAUGGAAAAACACAAAAAGAAGGCAACAAAUUCACCAAAACAAACCUUGAAAAGUUGGGGGCAAGGUACCCAAAGUGAAUGUUUCGAAUCCAACCGAAUCAAUCUUAUAUUUCGCAGUAUUCUCAUCAAUAAUUGGUUUAGCAAUUUCUUUCGCGGUUCUACAGAUCGCCUGAAAAAGGAACAGAAAACACUGAAUGAAUAAUUUCGCAUCUUUCACACGCUCAGCAUUACUGCAAAGACUAAUCAACAGAUCAUACUUUGUCCAGAUAAGGCCACAUCAUCUCCAAGAACCUGUUUAGCCAAUCAAUCUGCGAAGGGUGGAAGAGAAGAAUAAUCAAGUUAAAUUACAGCAGAUGUUCUACGGUGAUUAGUGAAUCAAUUAUUUAGCUACACAUACUCGAUCAUAGUCCGGACAUUUUACCCAUAAGGGGAUUUCUGGCAGAAUGCGCUCCAAAGAUUUCGAAUCAUGCUCAACAAUCGGACGGACUUUAGGAUCCUGACGAAGAAAAGGACGACAAGAGGUCAGAAUCAAACAGCAUUCUUCACAUGAUACUACUUAACAUGCACAAUUCCUUUGUUCUCGCGGUCACGGUACAAAAAAUUUAUAUCUUUCUUACAAUUUAAAUACUAUUCUACUACAAAUAGUACUCCCCUGUACUUAAUGCAAUCUCUACGGCACUUUCAGUAAAUCUUGUUGUCGGCAAUUCAUUUGUUUUAGUCACAACUUACAAUUUCAUUGCAUUUUGCUGUACAUUUUUUUCGACCAAGUGAAAUCCACAAUAAAAAGAUCGAUACCUAAUCAAUCCAAGUUCAGUUGAAAUGCAGCUUAAUGGCUUAUAUACACGUGAUCUACCACCCAAAAAAAAAAAAAAAAAAAAAUCAGAAUAUAGUCGAGCUAAUCCGUUACAUCAUCUACAAGCCAUUUUUACACUGUCAAAGGUCAGAUACGCACAGCAUUAAAGCAAGUAUGAGCCAACUCAAACAAAAAUCUUCAGAUAUUCAAAACUCCAUUUCUAGGUCUAAUUUCCCCAAAAUCCAAACACAACAACACAAUAAUUAGCUACCAAAAACAAACAAAAAAACAAACAAACAAAGAGCAGUACAAUCACAACAAUCUCAAACAAUUAAAACGCGUUAACUAAAACUGAUUAAUUAGCGCAUCUUAACAUCAGUGAGUUGGAAAUAAAUGAACAAGUAGUACCCAAUCACAACCCCGGCCGUUAAUCCGGCGCCGAAUCUGGUGAAACCCAACGCGGUGCUCACAAAACCCAUAACCUAAAAGAGAAAAAAUUAACAAAUUUUUUAUCUUCAAAAGCGAACAAAAAGGAGGCGCGCGCACCUGCGAUAUUAUCCAGUGUUAUUCAGAUCUCGAGUCCCAUCUAAGCACAAUGUUGAUUGGAAAAUGUAGAUAAAAACUCCUCAUCAGAAGCUACGGAAUCGAGAAAGCGACCGCAUGGGGUCACAUGAAUUGGGUUCUAUGUCGGCAAAAUAUGCUUCCCCCCAGGUGUGCGUUGUUGUCUAUGCGGACUCGGCGCACAACGCCUAUGCAUGACAUUAGUUGGAUCUGAAAUACAAAAAAAAAUUAUGCGGGAGAUGAAAGGUGACUUUUGGGGGAUUUUGAUUUUGAUUAAAUUAAUUUGGAAAAACUUCAAAUACUACCCCCGAGUUUUGCAUUUUCUCACUUUAGUACCCUUUGAUUUAAAGUGUAUCAAUUUAGUACGCUGUGGUUUUAUUUUUCUCUUUUUAUUAUUAAUUUUACUAAUUUUUUUUGUUAAAUUAGUGAUAAAAUUAAAACUAAAGGAUACUAAAGUGAAUAUUUAAUAAACUUAGGUGGGAUAUCUGAAAUUUUUUGUAUAUAAUUUAACGAAAUAUUAACGAAGAAGCUGACGAAAAGAGAAAAAUGAAACCAUAAAAUACUAAAUUAAUACACUUUAAAUUACAGGAUAUUAAAGUGAGAAAAUGCGAAACUGUAUGGGUGGUAUCUGAAGUUUACCCAAUUAAUUUUGGAAUAGGAUUCGAAGCAUUUGGGGGAGUGCGAGAGAAGUGCAGCUCCCUUAUAAUAAUUAAUUUAAUCAUAUUUCCUACACCAGGUGCAUCCGUCUCACAUUUCGGUCUACCCAUUUCAAAAGUGCUCUACAUUUUUAUAGAAACACUAAUAAAAUUUAUCAGAGAACCAUUUUAAAAUCGUUUAUUUAAUCUUUCAAAAUUUUGAUUUGUUACUCAAUUUUUCAAUUUAUUUGAUUUGAACCAGUCAAUUAUAUUGUAAUUUUAAAAUUUAAGUUAAAUUAUUUGUUUUAAUAAAUUUAUAGUUGCGAGAAUUAUAUGAAGUAUAAUAACUAAAUCUGUAAAGAUAAACGACGCAUUCAAAAUUUGAAGUUAAAGUAUUGUUAACUGAGUCAAAUUAAACAAAUUGAAAGAUUGGUAGUGAAAUUUAAAUUUUGAAAAGUUAGAUACUCAGUUCGAGAUGAUUUAUAAUUCAAAUAUGUUAUGUACGCUUUUACCUUUUUUAUAUAGAAGUUCGUAGCAAUUCAGAGUAUGUGUCAAAAAAUUCGACAUGUAAGAUAAUUUCGUUUAAAAUUUUGAUGAUUAGUAUUUUAAAAUUACGAUACAAUUUAAAUAAAACAAAUCUUAUAUAAAAAGACCGCUGCUGAUUAUGAAAACUGAUAAACUAGACAUCAAACAAUUAAACAUUUAGUUGCAUUGCAAGAAUUAUUUUUACAAAUAAACAAAAAAUAGAUGUCCAAAAUGUAUAAUUCCUAAUUUGUAAACCUUCAAGUGUUAUAGUAAAUUCAGAUUUCUACAUCUCUGCACUGAGAUUUAAAUUUUAAAAUGUGGUGCACCGUGCACCGGAUGCAUACAAUAAUUUCUUCCCUCUUCCACUGCAGACUGUUAUUCAUUUGGAAAAUUAAAAAAAAAAUAAAAAAUUAGAGGAAAAAAAAAUUGAUGACAGACAGGCGUUGAGAUCUCCAUCAGAUAUUUAAAUUCUUGGACAGCAGGCGAACCGCAGGAGAUGCUUCUGAGUUAAAUGUAUUAAAAUAAUUUUAAAUUUUUUCGUUUAAUAGUUAAAGAAUUCGAGUCACAAUUGAAAUUCAUAUAUCUGCACGCUUUAAUAGCUCGAGCUUUUAAAAUUAGUGAUUAACACCAAAAAUUCACAAAUGAUAUCAGAGUUAGUGUAAAUUAAUUUGACUCUUACAAAUUGUAAAUUUGUAUAGAUAUUGACAAGACUUAAAAAAAAAAAAUACGACCAUCAUACGAGAAGAAUGUGCAUAUUAUAUGUAGCCUAUAUUGUUGGCGUACGACCUCUGCAGCUUUCAAAAUUCGAGUCAAUUCUAAUUCAUAUUUGUGCCUUAGUUUCAAAAGAUAUAAUUUAUUUCGGAUAAACUUUAAUUGACAUCAUUUCAUUUUACUAUCGUAUAGUUUAAGCAUUUAACUAUCAUAUAGUCAUAUCUUUGUUUCUCUAUAAAAAAUUAUUAUUAAAUAGGGGACUAAAAGUUAUACUUCUUUUUAAUCACAGGACAAUAUACCGUAGUGUUUCAUCAUUCUAUAAUUUAUAUUUUAUGUCCUAUAAUUUUAUAAAAAAAAUAUAUUAUUUUACAAUCCUAUUUAAUAGUACGAAUUUAUGAUGAAAGAAAAAUAAAUUGUAACGCAAUCAAAUAUAAUUUUUUGAAAUAUAAGAUGAUAACAAAACAUGCCCUAAACCAUAAUUUCCCCUUGAAGCAGAAAAAAAAAAGAUCUUCUCUCGUUUUAUUAACCCUUUUCCUUUUGGGAUUUUGUCCACAAAAUUGUAUUCAUCGCCUCGUUUGACAACGAUAUAAACCAAUUUAUUAAUAAGUGCCAUAUUUUGAACAAUUAAAUAUGAUAACGUAACUACAGGGUUAUGUUGCACGACUUUGAUGCACUUAUCUUGUAAACGACUUGCUCCAAAUGUGUGAAAACAAGUGAUAUAUAUAUAUAUAUAUAUAUAUAUAGAUUAUAUAUAUAUAUAUAUUAUAUAUAUAUUAUAAUAUAUAAUAAUAUAAAGCUCUAUGUUUAAAAGAUCAAGUAUUGUGCUUAUAGAUUUUUAUCCCAUUGAUUAAAAAAAUAAUACAUUAUUAAUAUGGCCCCACUAGGUUGAGUUGCGUAGUUGGUUGAAUAGUAAAUCAUCUAUAACGGUUAAAAUGACCGAGAUAAUAGAUUAAGCGGUAAAAAGCUACAAGCACCUAAAUCUUUGGCUUUUACACACUCAUAGCUGAAUAUAUAUAUAUAUAUAUAUAUAUAUAUAUAUAUAUAUAUAUAUAUAUAUAUAUACACACACACGUGCAUGAUGUGAUCGAUCAAGGUCAAGGAUAAUUUAUAUGAAUUUUUUAUUAUUUUACUCAUUUAAUUCGAUUUCUUAAAUAAAAAACAUUAUCACAUCCAUAGUUUUGAAGGACAAAUAGUCCACCAUUAUUUCGAUUUUGUAAUUUAAUUGGAUCGUUUGUGACACACUUUUGUGAUCAUUUGCAUUUUAGUUGCUACACUUAUAUUUUUGUUUGGUCUAAAUGUUUUAAAGAGUAAAAAAAAAAAAAAAAGAAUUACAAAAUUGAAAAUUGAACAAUGAAUGUAUUAAAUAGUUUUGUUAGAUGGGUUCCCAAGUAAGUUUCUCAAUCAAUUUUGUUUCCUUUAUCUAUCAAAUUCCUAGUUAUUAUUUUUGCUGAUUUUUUUUUUUUUUUUCAAGAUCUAAGCUAAAUAAUGGGCGGAAAGAUAAUUUUAGAUAACUCGAUUCAAAUUCGAUACAAAUUUAUGGAGAGAAAUCCAUAUUUUAGCAGUCCGUCGGCUCAAGAUCAUGAUAUUUUUGUGGAAAGAUUUGCUUUAAGGUUUAUAUAUAUAUAUAUAUAUAUAUAUAUAUAUACCUCUAAUGAUAUUGUUUUUCCUCGAGGCCCUCGCUGCCUCACCUUUGUAGCCAAAUUCAUCCAUUCAAUGAAUGAAGUAGGUAGCGUGCUACCUAUUCUCAAAAAAAAAAAAUCUCUGUGAACAUAACCAACCUAGCAUAAUUAAGUAGAUAUGGUUAAUUGACAAAAAAUAAUUUUUUAAAUAUUUCUUUGUUGUAGUACUUAUAUCUACUGAGGUUGUGAUUGUGAUAUAUUAAUUAGGAAGAGAAGAAGAAAUUUAAUAGAGAAAAAGGUGAAAAAUAAAAAUAAAAAUGAUUUUUUUUUUUUUGGUUUGAUCCUAGUUAACAUGUUUUUGUAAAAUCAAAUAUCAUUUACAAAGAAUAUUUUGUUUGGUGUGUAAAUUUUCCACAAAUUGGUUGUUUGGUUUCUUGAAAAAUUAUGAAAAAUGAUUUUUUGGAAAAAAAAAUUCAUGAAAAAUCUCUUUUCUAAUUUUCCGCCCCUUUAGUUCCAAUAAAAACUAGUUUUUUUGAAAAGUUUUUUUUCCCAGAUUCAUGAAAAUUUAUAUUUCCAUUUUCCGAAUAUUUUUUUAAGAAAAACAAAAAUAAUAGUUUUCCAUAAUUUUUCAAAAAAAAAUCUGAAAAAAUUAGUUUCUUUAAACUAAAAGGGCGAAAAGUUGAACUAGAAGUUUUUUAUGAAAUUUUUUUCCUUAAAAACUUUUUUCAUACUUUUUCAAAGAACCAAACACUCACUACACUUUUAGAAGACACGAUUUUGAAUUAAAUGGCGGAAAAUUAAAAGAGAUAGGAAUAGAGAAGGAUUCAAUUUAGGAUUCUCCUACUCUAAAACCAGUAAGAAAAACAGAGUACAUAUUUCAAAGUUUAAGCUUUUUAAAGAACAGUUGCUUUAAUUAUUUAAAUUUAAUAAAUUUCACGAUCAAUCCUAAAACACACUGCCUUAUGCUUGGAUUACCACCCAAUGAUGAUUAAAAUCAUCAAUUUUAGAAUUUUCCUCGCUCUGAUACCAUAUAGAAAAAAAAAAUAGAAUAUUUUUAAGUUUAAACUUUUAAAGAAUAGUUGUUUUAAUUAUUUAUAUUCAAUAAAUUUCAUCGUUCAUCACAGAACACACUGUAUUAUACUUGGAUCACUAUCCAAUAAUAAUAAAACACUUCAUAACAUUUCAAAUGAAUAAUAUAAUCGGUUUAUGCGAAUUACCAUUCGACAGUGAAGCUCAUGAAUCAAAGAUGUAUCACAUACAAUUUAUAUAAAAAUUUGGCAUCAUGAGAAGGGCAUUAAAUUUUAAGUGAGACUAUAUGUAGGGUUUCCAAAUGUCACCUUCUUGUAUGGUUAUGUAUUAAAUGCAUACAUCACUUUAGGAUCACAUUUUAUUAACUUACACGUGAUUUAAAAUAUCAUAGGACUUUGUCAACAUAUUGACUAUCUUAUAAAGCACCUAACUAAGAACUUUCCUUGGUUUUUGUGAGUAAAUGAGAUCAUUUACUUUCGGUGUCAAUUGUUAUAUUUAAUCUAAUAUAUUUAAAUUUUUUAUAUUCAAAAUUUUGCAAAUUUUUAACAUUAUUUGUUUAAUAGCCUCAAAUUUAAUAUUUUGAAAUAGCCAAUAUUAGCUGAAUUUGAAACUAGUUAAUCACUAGAUAAAUUAUGCGUGAAAUAUCGAAGGUUGAUUACUAAAAAGUUCAAAUAAUUUAGAUCAUAUAUAACGGCAACAAUAAUUAAUUCUAAUGUUUUACUACCAAAAAUGAUAUAAAAAUAAAGUUUGAUUUACUUUUUGAAAUAUUCUAACUUCACAUAAUUUUUGUUUCCUCUAACUAGUCAUGCAUGUUUGGUAUCUACCUAAACAAAAUGAGAAAAGCCAAAAAUAAAGUAUUACACUUUUGAUUCUCAAACUAUGAGAUGAAAAAUUCUUCACUAUUUAAAUUCUAAUUUAUUAUAAUUUUUAUUUCAAACUUUUUAAAUUAAUGUAACCAAGUCUCGCAACCUAAUUUACUUUUCGAUAAUGAUGUGCUGCUAAUGUAGAAAUUUAGUCGUUGACACUUUAUCCGCCACAAUACUGCUCUAUUAUUAUUAUAUCAGCAAAACGUUACCAUUCAAUCAGCUAAAUUGGAUUAUCAGAUCGACCGUUCCUAUGGUAGGUGGUAAAGUACUUGAUGGUUGGUAUCUGAUAUCCUAUGUUCAAAUCUAAUUGCUUCACAUUUGCAACUAAGUUCAUUUUUGAAAAAAUAAAUGAAGCAACUACAGAAUGUCAACAAAUCGGAUUCGGGUGGAUUUUCAAAAACCUUAACUUACCGAAAUUCGAACCCGAAACCCAACUUAACAAAUUUUGAAAAUCCAUAUUCAAAACUGAACCCUACCAAAAAUUUGAAAGCCAAAUCCGAACUUGAAAGUCCGAACUUGAAAUAAAUUUUUUUUUUUACCAUAUUCCAAAACAUAUUAUAUCAAAAUCUUCCAAACUAUUAACUCAAAUAAAAUAUCAAAUAUUCAUAUAUAUUAUACAAUGUAAAAUUUAUUCAGGUUCGGAUUGCGUACAGACAAAAUUCGUUCUCGAAUUCCAAUCUAUCGGAUUUUCGUUUUUUAUACCCGUUUUCAAAAUCACGUACGUUUAGCAUUGGAUAAAUCGACCUUGUUCGGAUUUGAGUUCGGAUAAACUUGUAGGUAUCUAUAUCCAUCUACAUCCUUACAUAUACUUUAUCUCAAUAAAUAAAUAAAUUAGACUAUGAAAUUUAAUUAUAAUAAUUUUAAAAAAUUGAAUUAAAAAUUAUAAUAAAUUAAAAUUUAAGAGCUACUGUGUUACAUGCCUCAUAAUUUGAGGCCAAAAGAAUAAUCUAGCGGAAAAAAAAAACCCUCACAGGGAGGAAGUUUUUUAUGCGGCGGUCACACCAUGUCAGCCAUGUCCCAAAUAAUUAAAUUUUCAUGUUUGAUAGAAAAAUAUAACAAAAAUAAUUUUUUUAAAAAAAUCAUGAUAAAAUGGGUGAAUCCUAGGACUCAAAUAUGAUUAGUUGAAGACGAAAAAAAAAAAAGUUUUGAGUAGAAAGCUUCCAACAAGGUCUCGUUGAAAAAUCUCAACCAAUCGUCACGUAUUACUUUUUGAGAAUUAUAAUCCUCCAUUCUAAAAUUUAAAAAAUAUUUUAGAUUUUAUUAGUUAAAAGUAUUCUAUAAAUUAUUGGAUGAAUAUUAAAAAUUUUCACAGUCGAGAGUGUGAAAGAGUUGGAUUAGAUCAACAGGUUUUUAGUGUCUAACACAAAUGACAAAAAAAUUUAGCGGUUGAUACUCGAGAUUUCAAAUUUAAAUUUUAAUUAAUUUAUUUUUUAAAUUUAUUUUUAAAAGUAAUAAACGAAGCGCUCUCCCUCAAAAAAAAAAAAAAAAAAGAAAGUUGGAGGCGAUUUCCACGUGCCUUCGCAUGCGCCUCGUCUGGCGAUCGGACGGCGGAGACGGCUCCAACGGCUAGUUCGGAAAUCUCGAUCCAGCGGUGGGAAUCGCGUGGGCGGUUGCCGCCCAACCUCUCUCCGUACGUGUCUCGGGGGUGGCGCAGCGUUUGUCGGUGAAAUGAAAAACUACCACAAAACUCCCAAAAAUUAAAUAAAUUGAAAUUUGGAAAUUUGUGGAGACCACCCUCUACUAUGUUGCGUUUUAACAUGAGCCCACAGGGUGUUUUUUUUUUUAAAAAAAGAAAAAUUAACACUUUGGGCAAUUAGGGGGUGUUUGGUUAAUCCUAGGGGAAGCAGGAAAAAGAAUUAUUUUUUUUCAAAAAUAGUUAUGCAUUUUGGAUAAUAAUUUUUUUAAAAAAUAAAAUACUAGACUUUUGUAAAAUUUUUUUAAAAAAAUUAUUUUUUUUUUGGAACUAAAUGAAAGGAAACAGUUUUCCAAUCAAAAAUUAUUUUAUAGGUAAUUUUUUUGAAAAACCAAACAUUCUUUAAGCUAUUCUGGUUAAGAAUUAUUUGGAAUCGCGGUGCUCAAAUUAAGCAUUUUAUAUUUUGAGGGAUCUAAAAAUUUGAUAGUUUGUUUAAAAUUUUCAACUCUAUGAUAUAAAAUGGCAGCAAAAAUUGUAACUUGAAUAACAUUUAAAUUGGUACUCGCUUCCUAACUUUUAUAUUAUUUUGCCAAAUAGUGGUAGAACUAAAAAAACUCCAGCUCCGCAGCUAUACAAAGAAAAACUAAAAAGAAAUACAUUUGAACUUUAGUUCACUGAAUGUUUAUUUUUAUCUGAAUUACAGCGUUGAAACAAACAUGCCUAAAUAAAAAAUAAUAAUAGUAAUAAAGUUGAGGGGGCCAUUUCAAAUUGAGCAAUAGUUAGAGAGGUUUUUCCAUACAUUUGCACCCAAAAGAGAGUAGUUUACUUAACUUACUUUAUUAUUUAAAAAAAAAGAGAAAAAAGAAAGUAGCCGUUGGACUCGACGCUCUAUAAAAAGGCACCACCCCUUCACCCAACCUCCCCACAAGCGUACGCAUUUCCCCCACAAAACGCUAAAAACAACCAAAUCCACACACGUAGUUUUUGUUACAAAUCUAUAUACUAUAUAGAUAUAUAUAUAUACGCUAACUCUAACAGCUCCUCUUUUUUUCUUUUUUUCUUUUUUUCAAAUUUUAGUGUAGAUCGAAGGCGUUUAAUCUUGUAUAAAUAUACAAUAUCUUCUGAUCAAAUAUUUUCUCCUUUAAUUUUCUGUGUUUUUUUUUAUACAUUUUUUUUUUAAAAAAGAGAGAGAUAGAGAUUAAUCAGUGUUCUAAUAAUAAAUGGAGAGUGUAGUGAUAGAUAGAUCUCCUUCUUACCCAAGGACUAGAUUUGGUUCCGUGGAUGGACGAUUACUUGUUCCAAAAUCCUUCAACACAACUCGUUCUAAUUCCCUUUUGGGUCAAAAUAGCACCACUUUUAAUGCAAGUUUUGCACCCUCUCUCGUCCAUCAACCCCCUCUCCUCCCCCUCCCCAGUACUACUGCGGGGAGCCGAAGCGCUUUUCCACGACGCCCACGGCACAAAAAGCCGUUCUACGGCGAAGCACGUGGUGUUGUUGUUAUCGAUAAGUCGAAGGAAAAGGAGGCAGCGGCGUCGUCGUUGUCGUCGUCGUCGUCGUUCGUGUGGUCGGUGUCGCCGCCGCCGCCGAGUAGCGUCCCGAUGCCGAGGUUUUCGAUUACGAGGGGGAAGAAGGCUGCCGCGGCGGCGGCGGCAGGAGGUAGUGCUGCAGGAAAUUGCGUAGCGGCGGCGGCAGAAGAAAACGGCUCUGGCGGUGUGGAUGUCUGCGCUACCGACGGACUCCGGCGCCUCCUUCGGAUUUAGAAAUGAGAAAUCUUUUCUUGAGAGAUGCAGGUUUUUCGUGUGUUUGUCUAUAAAGUGAUGCGUCUUUUUUCGACAUACCUUUUUUUUUUUUUUUUUCUCUAUUAGGUUAUAUUCUGUGCAAAUUUUAAAGCAUUGCAGAAUAAAAUCGAAUAGAAAAUGGGGGAUGCAUCUUAAAAACCAGCGAUUUGUGUGCGUGUGAGUAGCGUCUUGAUCUUAGGUUGUGUCUUACAAUUAUGCACCAUGCAUGUUCAGAGAGAGAAAGAGAGAGUUUUUUUUUUCUUUUUCUUUUUCUUUUUCUUUUUCUUUUAAUUGGUAGCGUUUGAUGAUGUUACGAAUUAUAACCUCUGAUAAGAUGUGACGACGUGUGCUUUUGAACUUAUCCGAGUGUUAAUUGCAAUCACUAUCAUCAUGUAAAUCAUAUUCGAAGAAACUUAAAAUAAAAGUUUUCCUUAGUUUUUUAAGAUCUUUUGUGUUCAAUUAUUCGCAUGAGUGAUUUGAUUGGUUAAAUUUUCUCUUUCAGUGAUCUGCUGAAGAAUCGUUUUUUAUGGUUCAUUUAACAUUUACAGCGCACAUGAAAAUGAGUACUAGAAUUAUGGGAUGUUUAUGAUGUGUUUAUAUUUUAUUAGAUCAAUUUUUUGAGUAACAAAUAUAUAAUAAUACACUCUAGCUAACAAUUAGAGUCUUUCAAGAGAUCUUCUAUUAACUUAUAUUGAUCUCCAGCGAAAACAUAAUUUUGAUUAUUGUCUUUUCUGCUCCCUUCGCCGCAUUGAUAUUUUAUAUGGGUUGUUCUACAGUGUUUCUAAUACCUGCCAUUGCCUAUAUAACAUGGCAUCCAUCAAUUUUUUAUUGUGCGGCAGAAGUCAUCUAUUCCUCUAAGGGUGCAUUUGGUACACGUUAUCUUUUAAAAAUUCCUAAUAAUUCAAUGGGAAUAAAAAAAUAUGACGGUGUUUGGCUAAACGCAUAGUUGGUAAUAUUGGAUUCACUUGGGAAUAAGAUUCACCACAAAAUACUAAUCUCAUUUUCUUGAGGGGGUGGGUAUCCUCAUAUUAAUGAAUUAGGAUAAUCAUAAUAUGUUUAAUCUUUUUCUUUCUUCCUAUCCGCCGGCUAAUUGAUAUUAUUUUUCUUUACACUCUAACCUUAUAUCUCUCUCUAAACUUAUUUUUCUCUCUAAAAUUCAACUUUUUUUUCUCUCUCUAAACUAAGCUUUCUCUCUCUCUCUUUCUAAAAUUUCAACUCUCUCACUCCCUCUAAUUUCGACUAUAUUUUUCUUUCUAUUUUUUUAAUUAUGCUCUCUCUCUCUAACUUAUACUCUCUCUCCCUUUUUUCUAAAAAGAUGUUGAAACUUUUGGUAACAUUAUNUCUAAAAUUAAUUAAAUAAAUAAAUUAAUUAAUUGUAUAUUUUUUGUAAUAUUAAAUAACAUGGCUAAUUAAUAUUACCGUGCGAACCAAACACAGAAAUUUCACAUUCUUAGUAAUAGGAUGAAUAUGAAUAAAAUUCUAGGAUAUCUUUUAUUCCUAGUAAUCUUUCAUAAUGUGAACCAAACGCACCCUAAAAAGAAUCUUCGGCAUCACUUAAUCUGCUGCCAAUGCUGUCUCCUUCUGUGCUUUGAUUUCUCCCUUUCAUUUUUUUUUGAGUAUUUCAGUUUGCCUACUUACUAUAUAAUAUUUUUUAAAAAUAUUGAAUUUAUUUGUCCAAAGGAAGUGGCCGUAGUUGGCUGCAAGCCUGCAACAGAUGCUCUUCUUCCACGGGUUUUUUGAUUUGUCUUCCUUACUUUGUAUGUUUACUCCGAUUUAUCUACCAUAUAGUAUAUUUUAAACUGAUGUUGAUCUCUUUGGAUCAGAAAUUUAUUAAUUGUGUGUGAUUGAACUGCGUUCAUUUGUCUCCAAAUUUGUAAGUUCUUUUGUUCGUAAUGCUUUUGUACAUUUAAUUUGGUUUGAGUACCAAAUUGUGCAUACUAGUGUUGAACCCGCGCUUCGCCGCAGACAGUUUUGACACUAAUAUGCAAACAUAUAUUUAGCGUGAACAAUUUACUUUUAAACAAUUCUAAAAAAAAUAAUUUUUACUUUUGUUUUUGAAAAAUUAUAAGGACCGAUUAAGUAGAAAAUAUUAUAGAGAAAAGAGAUUUAGAUGAGGCAUGUGAGUCGAGGUGUGCGAAAAUACAGUCCUAGAAGCGAGAUUGUUCUUUCACGUGCGAGGUUCUGACUAUCACUUAUAACGAUACAACGACCACUUUCCAUCCCGUCGGCAUAUCUUUAGGUGGUGCAACAGUAAAAAAUACAAAAGAAAUGUAAAACUCGGUAUAAAGAGAGGAGAAAUUCAGUACACGAGGGAGAGAGGAAGAAGAAGUAAUUAGGAAAAUUUUUUAAGGUUCCAACCUUAUGAGUACAAUUCUCGAAUCAGGGUGAGGAUUUUGUCCCUUCCCGGUAAGGAAUUUGGAUAGAUUUGGUAUUUUUGUGUAUUUGAGCCCGGUAAGGAAUUUGGAUAGAUUUGGUACCUUCGUGUAUUUGAGAAGAUUUGAUAUCUUCCCGAGGUAUAAUCAUUAAAUAAAUUUGGUACCUUCCCAAGGUGAAUUUGAAAAGAUUUGGUACCUUCCCGAUGUGUAAUUAUUGAAUAGAUUUGAUAUCUUCUCGAGAUGAACUUGGAAAGAUUUGGUACCUUCCCAAAGUGUAAUCAUGAAUAUUUGGUAUGGGAGGGAGGACCGGAGGAGAGAGGAGAUGAAGGGAGAAGAGGAGAAAAGAGAAGCGGACACGUGUACGAAGAAACUGUCAAUUAGUUUAUUUGUAUGGAUUCUCUCUAUCUGUAAUGUUUUUAUAUAUGCUUAGUUUUGGUUUGAUUGUCAAUUUAUGCAUAUGUAUUUAAAAGAAAUUUGAAUUUUACUUGUGGUUGACGUUGUUUUUCUUGACUUUUGCAAACGUUUGGUUUUGAAACUCUAAACUUAUUUGUUCAUGCUCCUCCUAUAUAUAUUUGGUUUGAUUUAGAAUAUAAAAGUUAGGUAUCUGCACUCUAGGAUUUACAAAACUUUAACAAAUAUAAUAAAAAAUAACUAUAAUAAUAUUUACCCGUCAUAUCUCGUGAAGCGUUAGUAUCCACAAGAAAGUAGAAUGUUGAUGAAAAUCUAGGAAGCAAUUAGUCUGUAUAUUAGAGAAAAUUUGGAUUUGAAUUCUUCAUAAAAUCAACAUCAAAACAUCUAAGUCAAUAGUGGAAGAUUCACGCUGCUGGAGUUUAUUUAUUGACAAUUAAAAUACGUAGAAACUCUUUAUGUAUGCAUCAAAUCGAGACGAAAUACAGUGAAAAUCGAACCAUGUUCUUCUAAUCCCAAAUUGAGUGGGUGAAUGUGUGGCCAAGGGCAUCAUUUAAUAUAAAAAAAUAAACUAAGAUAAACUAAAAUAAAGUUAAAAUAGAAAAGGCAAAGGAUCCAAUAAGGACUUGGUCUCAAUGGAUGAUGGUUUUUUGCGACAUCAAUUGAAGAGAGAUACCGAGAACAACAAGAAUUGGCACUAAAUACAUGGAAACAAAUAAAAGUAUAAAUUUAUUUUAAAUAAGGCAAUGUAAAUAUAACAAUCGAUCUAUCAGUGUCCCAAAAUCAAUAAAUAAGCACAUUACGACGUAUAUUAAUUCCCCGCGUUUUUAAGCCUCUCCAACAACAAGGUCACUCUUGCAAUUAUCAUUUAACUCACUGCUCUUUCUCUUCAUUUAUCCACUAGAGAGGACCACACUGUCUUUCGUUACAUGGAAAGCUGGCGCACACGAUUCAUGCAUCAGUUUUUGCAGAAGGCAUGAAGGGUUUCGUCGAGGGCUUUUCUGUCGUAGUCGCCAGUAAAGACGCAACUACCCAAGGGGCCUUUAAGUAGGAUGAGCCUUAGCAAUCCAUCAGCCACCUUCUUAUCAACCUACAGUGACAUAAGCUGGAGUUAAAAGAUAAACAAUAACUUACUCGAGAGUCAAGAGAGCAAUCAACGGGUACUUCCUUUUUCAGAUAUUUUUGUCAGUUUCCCUUCUGUAGGGUGUGGUGCUAGUCGACAAAAUGUUGUUGUUGUAGUGAUAUUAGAAGAAGCACGACAAUUUUAACAAAAGCAACAGUUCUUAAUUGAAACUUCUGCUUUUGGGAUUAGGAUUAUCAUCCAGCUUUCCCACCACAACAGAGCUUUUCCUGUUUGUCAUAUGCUCCACAAGAGGUGGAUGCAGUAGAAAGCAGCAGUAUUGCGGCCAAAAAAGCAAUCAAAAGCACAUAACCUACUACAAAAACAGAAUUUUAACGAUACCAUUGUACGGAUAUAAGUGCCCCUCUCCAGAUAACUCUUGAUAUUCUUUUAAGAAUAUACUCCUUCAAGAGGUAUAUAAGAAACUCGAAUCUUACAGGGGUAUGUGUAAGUAGAAUACUUUGCAAAGAUAGACAUCUAAAAUCUAAUAGUUCCCAUCACUUACUGCCAUAGUAUUCUUGAACUUCUCCACCGUCAUUGUCUCGGGUGGUACAAUGGGGAGCUUGGCAUGCUGCAAGAUGUUGAGUACCCGAUUCAUAAUAGUAUCAUCGAUCCAGCCUAGACGGCGUGACAUGUCAACAGCCAUCACCUAUUAUACAGAAGUAUUAUAAUUCUUGAUAAGGGCAAGAGGAGGAGAGGGAGGGGGAGAGAGAGAGUGAGAGAGUUCUGUAUGUAUCACCAUUCCAGCUGCUACGGCCUCUCCAUGGAGCCAUUGUCCAUAGCCAACACCUGUUUCUAUAGCCUGAAUAAUGAGAAAAUUCGGUGAAUUAGCAGGCAUACUAACAAGGGGCCAGUUGUAAUGAAAACUCGACAACCAACUAAGGUGAGAAGAUAAUAACCAUAAAAUUGCAAUAAAGCAAGAUAUACAAGUUGAACGAGAAAAACUCUACUAGGUAUACAAGUUCGAUGAGAAAAGUUCUACUACAUAUAUGACUAAGCUUUCAUUGGUCUUACUUUUUCAGAUCAUGCAAAUACAUUUGAUAAGACGCUGUGGCAUGAAGACACUAUUCACAAAGAGUGGGAAGCAAAACUAAGGCCUUCUCUGCUCAUCAUCAAGUUUAGCUAUGCAAUUUUCUAUGUACUAGUAUUGCUCUCAAGAUGAGGCCUGUCCGGCAAGAAAUAGUGAACCAAAGCAAACUGGGGUGGCUUUUGGUUACUGUGUGAUAAGCAGAUCCGUAGUUUACCAGAUAGAACAAAGUGGAAAAACAAUUUAGAUCUGAAUAAAUACUGCACACAAUCAGAUUGCUUUCUAGAGAAAUUUGCAAAUGAAGGUGGGCUUUCGUGUGAAAAUGCAAUUUUGCAUCUCUCGGAUUGCCUAAUUUACUACAGAAUUCUUGCAGGAAUUGAAAAUUUCCACCAGAAUCAGAAAGAAAUUGAAGAACGAGUAGAAAAAACUAGAGAAGAAAAAAGAAGUAACAUGAAAAGAAGGGGAAGAAGAAACAGCAGACACUUAAAGAACUAAUUUUCAUUAAUUUGUCACUCCAUACUAUUUCUGUAACUUCCUCGGGCAUAACUAACUGUAUUAAUAUAGCUACAUAAAGAGGUACAAAAAGAAUCAGAAUCUUCUCAAGCCUGUUUACUACCAAAAUAGAACUGUUGAUAAAAUUUUAUUCGAGGAUCAACCGGGGAACACUAAAAAGAUUUGGGCAAGAGUCAUUCCUAAAGAUGCAUCUAUUGAUGAAACAAUAAAAAACUAGAAGCAUGUCGUUGAAAAUUUGAGGAAAAUAUAGCAACAGUAACUGCAGUGUAAACACUGGAAAAACUGAAUGCUUACAUGACCAAAUGUAUGACCCAAGUUUAGCGUAGCCCGUAAUCCACUUUCCUUCUCAUCUAAGGAAACAACUUCAGCCUUGUUUUCACAUGAUCUCUUGAUAGCAUAGGCUAAAGCACUUGGGUCCCUGCCAUCAUCAAGCGCAUAAAAGUACUGCCGGAAAGAAGAUGAAUAUAACUCACAGUUGUAACUAUCUGGAAUAAGUCUAACUAAAAAGGUAGCCUUUUCUUCUCUUUUUUUUUAUCAGGGGCAUAAGUCUAACUAAAAAGGUAGCCUUUUCUUCUCUUUUUUUUUAUCAGGGGUGGGGGGUGUGUUGUGAUUUCACUACUUCUUGUACUCAAGGAUUGAAAUAAAGUAAACAUACUAAACAUAGCAGGGAUACAAACAACUUGUACAAACUGGGAUAGUCCAGGGGUUUGUGUAAAAUCAGAGUUGUCUCUAUUACAUAUUCACUGCAUGCGAUGUUGUCAAUCAUUGUGCUGCACAUGACUUCAUUCCUAAAACAAAGCUUCUUUUAAGCUGGUAUAAUCAAAAUUAACUUCGGAAUAAAUUAAACCAAGCGACAGAUAUUUAAUUUACAGCUAGAAGGAAUCUGCAACUACAUAUUAGCUCAUAUAGAGAACAUAAAAUAAUAGGAAUUCCAAUACCUUGCUAAUAGAGCCUGCAUAUUCUUUUCUUGCCACUCAAAGAAUGCUGCAUCUCGGAUGAGCCCAUACUUUACAACUUCUGCAAUGCCUGAAGCUAAUUCCCUGUCCGGCAAUGUAUUUAGCGUAUCGGUAUCUACUAGCACGCAUUGUGGUUGAUAGAAGGCACCAAUCAAGUUCUUUCCUAGUGGAUGAUUUAUCCCAGUUUUCCCUCCAACUGAUGAAUCAACCUUCAUUUAUGAAUAACUAUCUGGUUAAACAAUAUAAUAAAGUGAAAACUUCAAUACUGUAGCAGGAUUUCUUUGUAAAACCCACUGGUUCAAACUGUAAUGCUUACUUUCUAAAGAUGUUUUCACAGAUGUAGUAAUCACGUGGCUCCCAUAAACAUUGUAAAUAAAUAGGAUCAAUAAGAUUAGCACUUAAUACUUAGUUACAGUGUUUUAAUAAACUGUGUGCUUGACAUGUACUCAAUUUCGAUGGCACUAAUGUAAAGUCCUUAGAGAUGACAAGAGCAAUGGUCAUGGCAACUCAGAUGGGUUAAGUGGUAUUGGACUACUAUACCACAGGAUACAGGGGGUUAUACUAACUCUCAAGUAUACUAAAAGCAACUCAGUAGAAAUGGCCAAGAAAAUCACCUGAGCCAUCAGAGUAGUGGGUAUCUGAAUGAAAUUAACACCGCGAAGAAAGGCGGCUGCGGCAAAGCCACACAUAUCACCGAUCACUCCACCGCCAAGGGCCACGAAUGUGCAACGGCGAUCCAACCUAGACUCAACGGCUUUAUCAAACACCUUCAUCAGUGUCUCCUACGGAUCAAAAGAGACAAUAAUUACAACAUAAGCAAUGAAAUAACGAAAAAACAAUAUGAUUGAAGUGGAAAAGGAGACAACUUUCCUAUUCCAAAGCACUUACCAUGUUCUUAUACUUCUCUCCAUCGGGUAGAAUCACACUUUCUACUGAAAUAUUCGAAUUCCCGUGUGUCAAUGCUUCGGUAACUUUCUCAAGGUAGAGUGGCGCGAUUGUUGUGUUAGUUACCACCAGAACUCUCUUUCCAUGUACAUGUCUAAGAAGAGGAGUAUGCACGCUUGAAUCAAAUUGAAAUCCAAAACGAUAAUCAAAUUCUCAAGGGCGCACAAAGAGUACCUCUGAAGAAGAUCGGGUUCGUCCAAAAGGCUCGAUCCGAUGUAGAUUGGGUAGCUCCGGUUCCCCAGGUCGACGUUGACGACGGUCGAAACCCUAGAUCCGGACUCUUUCCCCGCCGCCGCCUCCUCCAUUACCGGUGUGGCGCUCGCGGCGAUCCUCGCCCGGAUCCGGCUCGUUCUCGCCGCGGCGCCGCCGAUUUGGACGCGAAGGGGGUUCGCGGAGGCGGAUCGGAGGUCGACGGAGCUGCGGCGGCGGGGGACGACAAGCGCCGCGGGGGCGGAGAUCUUGGGGGUGGAGCGGAUGGAGGAAAAAGGGGAGGCCGCCAUGGAUCGGAACUAGGGUUAGGGUUUGGUGGCGACAAAGGGAGGGGAAAGGGGAUCCCUUCGUCGUUGGCGCCCAUGUUCGUUCGCUAUGGUUUUAAGCUUUUGGUGAGAGAUGCGGGAGUGGGUAGGUGAGGGAGGUGGGUCGGGGGUUUCUCGCACGUGCGGGAACAGAGAGGCGUCGCGUAAUGGUCGCUGGUAUAGAAGUAUGCGGGCGGACGGAUCCGCCGUUGGCGUCGCGUUACGGGGAAACCAACGGCGGAUUAUCCUCCCCGCGUAGAGAUUCUCGUGAGGACAAAAGCAUCGGCCGAAGUCAAGGUCUCCGGUAAGCGGUUUUCACCGAGUGCGGUAGGUAGGCGGCGACGCCACGUGGCGGUCGACGGAGGAUCGAAUGACGUGGCACAACAGGAGGCUGGUGUGCCGGAUGAGUUUCGCCGUUGUUGAGAGUCUAAUAAAGGUGAACUUUUGGAUGAGUAAAUUUUCUAAAAAAAAAAAUUAAAAUUUACUUGUGAAUGAUGGAAAGGCUUGAAAAUUUUGAAUUUCGCUUGCAAAUAAAAUUACAAAGCACUCAAAAAUUAAAUAAAUAAAUAAAUUUUUAUGACCAAAAAUUAUUUUAUUUUUCUUUAUUUUUGAUAAAACACAAACACAUUCAUCCUAAAAAUAAAUCAACAAUAGCCAUUUUGACUCAUUUCUCAGUUUAUAAGAUGACUUUUCCUAUAAUACUUUAACAGAAGUCAAUUACAUUUGAAUAUAACUGAUUUUUGACUAUGCCGAUAUAAACAAGAGUCAAUGAUGAGAUUGUCUGGUGUAUUGGGCUGUGCUAUUGGCAUACUGGCAUUACACGUCUCUUGCAGUAGCACAACAAUUUUUGAACUCAUGCAUAUUCAAUUUAUGCCUCAUCAGUAUAAUUCUCAGAUCAAGGAUCACGAAAAUGCGUUAACAAAGCGCAUCUUCUCGUAAUUGUAUAUUUAGGCUAAUAUAUGCCCUCAUGCACUAUUCAUACAAGAGAAGCGUUGUGUCAUAAUUUAGAUAACUAGAUGGACUAAACCCAAAAGUUUUAAUUUUAAUUUUAUACUACAAUGUUUCUUUCAGUUAGGGAGACUAAAGGAACCUUUUGUAAUAAUAGUUAUGUUGCACUGCAGAUAAAUAUUUAUAAAGCAAUAUAUAGAAUUGGGCAACAUAGCCAGAUUUGUAUGCAAUUACAAUUAUAGUGCAAUUACAAUUAUAUAUAACCAAAUAGUAGUGAAUCAGGCAAUGUCUCCUUUCUUUGGGCUACAAAUUAAUGGAGGCCCAAACGAAUCCAAAACCAAUCCAUACUACACCCUACGACGAUUUGGGCUUUUUUCAUAUUUACUUGGCCCAACCAAGCGCUUAAAAGUUUAGGCGGUUUCCCCUUCCCUCCAAAACGUUGAACCUUCCCUCCACAUAGAAUAUUGUUCCUGCACCAGGUUCAUCAGAAUACUUGUGCACCGCUCAAUAAUUCCACAAUAGCUCCCUCAGUUUUUUUUUUUAUAUUGAGACCCUCCUCAACUUCUAAUUUUUAUAUUUAGUUUUAUAUUUAUUGACAAUUUCUAGAUUUAUUUUAUUUCAAAUUCAAUAACUCUGCUAGUUAUUAACAGUAAAUUGAUCAAGUUUUAUUUGCUAAAAAUAUUAAAUAUAUUUAUUUAUUUAUUUGAAAUCUUCAAUAAAUUGAAUACAAAUUUUUUACUAAAAUAUACUUGAUUAAAAGAAAUUCAAAAGUUGAGGGGUCUCAACGAAAAAAAAAAAAGGAAAGAUUGAGAAGGCCAUUUUGGGAUUAACCAAUAGUUAAAGGGUUCUCCAAACGUUUUUACCAAUUUAAAACAGAAAAAGCUGUAACUCCACGGACGGUUUAGAUUAACAUGGGAGUAGGAUGGGCGGUUGUUAUUGUCCCGUUCACAAAUGUAAAAAUACACCAGGUUUAGACAACGAUAUCUCCGAUCUGAAUAGACCCAUUUCCUCCAAACACCGCAUCCCUGCACCCGGUCUACGCACUUCUCCCCUAGCUCUUCUUCCCUCCCCUUUAAACCCUCUCUCUCUCUCUCUCUCUAUCUCUCUCCGCCAUGGCCGAGGACGACGAAGGCGACCUCGAUCUCCUCCUCUCCCUCAAGGACGAUAGGGUUUUGGAGACCCCACCCGGAUCCCCCUCCUCUCACCCUCCUCCUCCUCCUCCUCUUAUUCCACCAGGUACGCUUCCGCUCUUUACCCCAACCUCAUCGUUCCCAAAUCCAUUUCUCAAAACCCUAGUUCAUGGCUUCGCCCCACGCUAGACGAUGCGUCGCCGACGAGGUCUCGCCCCUCCGACAUGUCGAUCUUUCGCAAUGCCGUCAAAGAUUACCUCGACACCAACCCCACCCCCCCCUC
RNAcentral lists this long non-coding RNA (29748 nucleotides) under Ananas comosus (pineapple). Its description in RNAcentral is "long non-coding RNA (ACOM_LNC033763)". The record is from RNAcentral. Lineage: Eukaryota; Viridiplantae; Streptophyta; Magnoliopsida; Poales; Bromeliaceae.